RNAcentral lists this ribosomal RNA (407 nucleotides) under uncultured bacterium. RNAcentral's name for it is "bacterial SSU rRNA". It matches the Rfam family "Bacterial small subunit ribosomal RNA", at positions 355 to 774 of the family's 1533-position model. The record is from RNAcentral.
UGGGGAAUAUUGGACAAUGGGCGAAAGCCUGAUCCAGCAACGCCGCGUGAGGGAUGACUGCCUUCGGGUUGUAAACCUCUUUCACCUGUGACGAAGCGAAAGUGACGGUAGCAGGAGAAGAAGCACCGGCCAACUACGUGCCAGCAGCCGCGGUAAUACGUAGGGUGCGAGCGUUGUCCGGAAUUAUUGGGCGUAAAGGGCUCGUAGGCGGUUUGUUGCGUCGGGAGUGAAAACUCAGGGCUUAACCCUGAGCCUGCUUCCGAUACGGGCAGACUAGAGGUAUGCAGGGGAGAACGGAAUUCCUGGUGUAGCGGUGAAAUGCGCAGAUAUCAGGAGGAACACCGGUGGCGAAGGCGGUUCUCUGGGCAUUACCUGACGCUGAGGAGCGAAAGUGUGGGGAGCGAACA